This 4863-nucleotide long non-coding RNA is filed under the name Brassica napus (rape). RNAcentral describes it as "long non-coding RNA (BNAP_LNC017996)". Lineage: Eukaryota; Viridiplantae; Streptophyta; Magnoliopsida; Brassicales; Brassicaceae. The record is from RNAcentral.
GGUGAACUCAGUAAUUAUUCAAUUGUGAUUAGGCAUAGCAGAGGAGUAAGAGCAUCUAAGUUGCUCAAUUAUGAUCACAUAAAGUAGCGUUUACCAAAUCCAACACAUGCAUUUCAUAUUAAAGGUUUAAAAUAUUUGGAUGCAGAAUAACACAACCCCUUUCGCUUCUCUCGACCACUCGAGUCUCUUCUUAUCAUCCCAUGGCGUACUUCUGUGUCCAGCUUCGUGCAGUUGACUCGUACUUGGACUUGUCCGUUUUGUACAUGUGAGCUAUCUCCGGCACAAGAGGAUCAUCUGGGUUCGGGUCCGUCAACAACGAGCAAAUUGACAACAAAACCUGUAUCCAAAGCAAUCAAUCAUCAUCAUCAUCUCUCGCUCAUUAACAAUGGUUGUGUUAAUUGAUAGUAAACCUUGGAUACGGUAAGAGCAGGGCUCCAUUGUUCUUUAAGGAUAUCAAGGCAGAUGCUUCCGUUGCUGUUGAUGUUUGGGUGGUACACCCUUGUCUUAAAAGACACCUGCGAUAAUCAGACGCACACAUUCGGUAAUAAACGAGAUGUCCAUCAAACUUAAAGAUGAUUUAGUUACUUGAAAGAAAACAAAAAGAACAAACCUUUGGUGGCUUGAAGGGAUAAUCAGGAGGAAAGUGAAUGGAAACCAAAAAGACUCCUCCGGCAUAUGGACUAUCAGGAGGUCCCAUGAUAGUUGCUUGCCAAUGGAACAUGUCUUCAGCCACAGGACCUACAACACGAAAAAAAACAUUACAAAUUAGACUCAAAUCUCUUCACCAAACCCAGACCUCGCAACCACAUCAAUAGAGACAUAUCAGAAGCAGGAGACACUACAAAUAAAUCAAAACUAUGCUGAGUUCAAGAUUCUCUAUUUGAUGAAUUAUUUACAGUACAUGGCAAAAAAGAUUCAUGCAUAUAACACAAACACCAAACGGCGUCGAUUUAAAAGAGAUCCUAACAAAUCAAAGCUUAACCAUGCAAAAUUCAGAAGCCUAAUUAGGAUACAGAUUAAACAAAGUAUUGAAGUGGCUUACUUCAAAAGUAGUGAAAGUAAGGAUCUUUAGGUCGGUUAUUACCUGCGCUGCAGUUAGAAGGAGGAUCCUUCUGCAAAUCCUUGAGCUCUUUCAAAAUCCUCUUCGAAGCCAUGGAUCAGAUACGAAAAAACCUGCAGACAAGCCGACACAACUGAUAUUAUGAACAGGAGAGGGGUUAAAACCUUAAAGCAAUAACACAAGAGGAGAAGAUCACGAACCAAGGGAAAAGCGAUCAGAAAGCGAAGAGGACGAUGCGGUGCAAAGAGAGAAAAACGAAUGAGAUCCUCGCUCUCUCCCUACUUACCUUUUCUUUAUAAAUGUAUUCGAAACGGCAACCCGUAAGGGCAUCUCCAUCCCUACUCCAUUUUUUCCUCUAAAAUGGAAUAAAAGUGAUUAUGGAGUAAAGAAUGCUCCAACCCAACCCCAUAUCUCACUCCAUAAAUGGAGUAAUCUAUUUUUUGUUUGUUCAUCACUCCAUUAUAGAGUGGGAAAUGGAGUAGGAUUAGAGCAAUUUUACUCAAUUUUCACUUUUACUCCAUUUUGGAGGAAAAAUGGUGUUUUACAUUGGAGAUGCUCUAAAAUGCCUAAUUUUUUUGCUGAGUUUUCUGUACAUUUUUGAUAUUUGUUUUAAUGAGAUUUACUCGAAGGAUCUAUUUAGGCAGAUAGCUAAAAUUUUGAAUUUAGCUAGUCUAACAUUUGAUCCUUACCAAUAACCAUAAUAUUAAAGCUAUUAAUCUAAGAUUUGAUUUUUUUUUCUGAGUUUUCAGUACAUUUUUAUAUUUGUUUGGAACUGGGCCGAGAUCAUAGGUUUUUUUUGUACACUUAUAAAAUGCAUAUUUUCUAUUCGAUUAGAGUUUUAGGGUUUUUCAUCUCCGCCUUUCGACGAGCUCUAAAUUGGUAAGCUUUUCACCUAUCUAAUUUCAGAUCUAUGUUGUUAUCUCUUCUGUUUUCCCUAAUCUACAACUAUCAUUGUACACUUAGAGCAUCUCCAACCCCUAGCUAUUUUCACCUCUAUAUACUAUAAUAGAGGUAAAGUGCUUCAUCCCAUCUCUAUUUCCACCUCUAAAAUAUUUUUUCCUCUAUUUAUAGAAGAAAAAAUAGCAUUCCUCUAUUAUAGAGUUAUACUUUUUUAUUUUCAAAAUAGUCUUUUAACUUUCAAAUUUUUAUAGUUGUAACCAAAAUAAUUAUAUUUAUAAAGAAAUACAGCUUUUUAGGAGUAUAAUAACAUUUUGUAUUUACAUAAUAGUCUUUUAACAAAACUUUAGUUUAAAAAAAUUCAUAAGUUUAUGAAAAUAUUUUAAAAGUUAAAAAUAAAUAGGGUUAGUUAUCAACUUUUAUAAACAAAAUGUAUCUUUUGUAAAAUUAAAAUACAAUCUUUUGAGAAUAUUCCUUUAUAGAGGCAAAAAUAGAGAAAUACAUUGGAGAGAAAUUCAUCUCUAUUUUAGAGAUGCUCUAUUUUAGAAGUAAAAAUAGGAGAAUACAUUGGAGAUGGUCUUAUAAUCAGGAAAUGGUACCUAACGUCGUAAAACCUUCUGGCAGCAGAAACGAUUAUCAGUCUUUCACUCUGAAAAAUCAAUUGUCUAUCAUUGCCAUAUCUGAUCCAAAUGCCACCCAGUCUUGCUUCUCUCUAGUGGUUAGAGCCAGUUCUUCCAGAGAUCCUCAAGAUUUAAUCUUCUCUUUUUUUUUAAUUUCAUUUGAUGCUUUAUACUUAGCUACUAAUUACUAAUAGCUGAAUCGAAGAUAUAAACAUAUAGAUAUUUUUUUGGAUCCAAAUACAAAGUUUUAACUGGGCCGACUAUCUGAUCUCCGGCCUUUGUAGCUCUUGUACACAUAUAAAAUAUGUAAUUUCUAUGCGAUUAGGGUUUUUCAUCUCCAUGUGUACAAAUUUUGCCUCUCGCCGAACUAAGCUAAAUUUGUAAGUUGUUCUCAAACAUAUUUUGUUAUAUUUUUCACCUAUCUAGUGAUUCUACAUAUAUGAUUGUGAUGUUCUAAAGCGAUUAUGUGUGUAUUUCAUGUCAUUGGUUCUUCCGCUUGAUAUUAAAGUUUCAGAUCUCGAUUAUAUUGUUGUUUUUAUGUUGUUAUCUCUUUCUGUUUGUGUUAAUCUACAUAUAUUGUUUCUUAGCUAAAAACAUACACAUAAUCGCUUUAGAACAUCACAAUCAUUUAUGUAAAAUCACUAGAUAGGCGAAAAAUAUAACAAAAUAUGCUGGAAAACAACUUACUAAUUUAGCUGAGAGAAACAAUACAUACAUAAUCGUAGUGUUUGUCCGCCGAACAGAGCUGUUGUUGCUUUCAUUAUGUCAGAAAAUAGAACGUAAAGUUGAAAAACCUUUCAACAUCAGAAAUGAUUAUGAACCCUUCACUCUCAAAAAUAUUUUGGAUGUCAUUGCGAUAUUUGACUCAUAUGCCACUGACUCUUUACCUCUCAUUAGUGGUUAGAUCUGGUUCUUCGAGAGAUCCUCAAAAUGCUCUGGGAUUAGCACAUCUUUUGGAGCAUAUGGUCUCGUUUUCAAGAAAGAGUUUUUGUUGGAUUUGUUAACAAAGGAGCUAAGAGAAACAAUACCUAAUUCGAAGGUGAAGAAAAACUGUUUAGUCGCUGGAUCAAUAUUUACAGUGUAAAGCUUGACGCAGACAGACUAUUUAUUGUCAUAGCUUGUAGCUCUUGUACACAUAUAAAAUGUCCAAUUUCUAUGCGAUUAGGGUUUUUCAUCUCCAUGUGUACAAACUUUGCCUCUCGCCGAACUAAGCUAAAUUGGUAAGUUGUUCUCAAACAUACUUUGUUAUAUUCUUCGCCUAUCUAGUGAUUCAUAGGUGAGUGUGAUGUUCUAAAGCGAUUAUUUUUUUUUUUUUUUUGGACAAAUUUUGAAGAAAGUACGCAAACUGAAACAACGCACAACGAGUAUUAUUGACUAAGGACUUUACAUGGAUGGAUACACCAGUUACUGAAAACUUUUUACUACUUUGAAAGAACUUUUUACUACUAUUCUUUUUCACAGGUUGAGAGAACAUCAACAGUUUUGAGAGACAGACCCGUACAUUCCUCACUUUUUCUAGUUAAAACUUAAAAAUAUCAAAGCAGCAAAAGUGUGCGGCACAUCACAUGAUAUGAAAAGUUUAUAGAAGAAAAAGGUUGUGGUUGUACCGCAACAAAUCACAUUUAUAAGGUUUGAAUUGUUGCUAUAUGAUGUUAUCUAUUUUUUUUUCUGUUAUCUUUGUUGUUGAAAAUUAUGCAUAAGAAAGACUUCUCAAUGGAUUUGAGCUUUUUGCUUUUAUUGCACAUGGUAUGAUUUGGUUGCUUGGAUUCUUUGUCAGUCCUUUAAACCAAUAAUGAAUGUCUUGUUUGUUAUCUUUACUAGAUUGUCCGAGCCUUUCUUUUCUGCAUUGGAUUCGCUCGUUUUCUUAUUAGUAUUAGAACGCAUGUGAAUUCUUACUCCAACUCAGGUCUACUAAAGAGUUGAAAUUCUAGGUGUCCUUUUCAGAAGUUCUGUCAAUGACUUAUCUAAUAUCGACACAGACAAUUUUGUAACGAUAGUAACCCAAUUUUAGCGUGGUGAACUCAGUAAUUAUUCAAUUGUGAUUAGGCAUAGCAGAGGAGUAAGAGCAUCUAAGUUGCUCAAUUAUGAUCACAUAAAGUAGCGUUUACCAAAUCCAACACAUGCAUUUCAUAUUAAAGGUUUAAAAUAUUUGGAUGCAGAAUAACACAACCCCUUUCGCUUCUCUCGACCACUCGAGUCUCUUCUUAUCAUCCCAUGGCGUACUUCUGUGUCCAGCUUCGUGCAGUUGACUCGUACUUGGACUUGUCCGUUUUGUACAUGUGAGCU